This is a transfer RNA of Felis catus (domestic cat), 85 nucleotides long. It matches the Rfam family "tRNA". Rfam says of the family: Transfer RNA (tRNA) molecules are approximately 80 nucleotides in length. The record is from Rfam. Lineage: Eukaryota; Metazoa; Chordata; Mammalia; Carnivora; Felidae.
GCCUGGGUGGCUCUGUCGGUUGAGCAUCUGACUUCCGCUCAGGUCACGAUCUCACGGUUUGUGAGUUCAAGCCCCAUAUCAGGCU